Molecule: transfer RNA, 76 nt
Filed under: Halomonas sp. I1
Lineage: Bacteria; Pseudomonadati; Pseudomonadota; Gammaproteobacteria; Oceanospirillales; Halomonadaceae
Description: tRNA-Thr
Rfam family: tRNA
About the family: Transfer RNA (tRNA) molecules are approximately 80 nucleotides in length. Their secondary structure includes four short double-helical elements and three loops (D, anti-codon, and T loops).
Source: RNAcentral
GCCGGUGUAGCUCAGUUGGUAGAGCAACGCAUUCGUAAUGCGUAGGUCGGUGGUUCGAGUCCACUCACCGGCACCA